CAGAUUUGACCAAAUAGUUUAAUCUAUAGGAUUAAAUGUAUAGAAAUCACCUAUGUGAGGGCGAAGUGGAAGCCACUUCAAGGAGAAUGUUAGUAAAGGCCUAUUCUCUAAGCUCUCAUGAAAUCGAGACGUGUUCAUGGCCGAAAAGAACGAAACCAUGAGAACUAUAAACAGUAAAAGACUGGUUGUAUGACAUAUGUUGUCUAGGUGUAUACUAAAGCUCGACGGUUCUAGAUUGGUGUUCAAAAGGAUUGAAUAAUAUAAAAUGCACCAGCCUAUUGGAUCAUCAUUUAUCAUGUUUCCUAGCCCUGGAUGAACCAAUUACUAUGAUAACCCAAACAGACUAUGAAGCUGGCUGCUCACGAUGUUGGCACAUUUUGUGUCAUGAUUUCUUGUCUAAGAGGUAGAUAAUACUUUUACUUAGUAGGGUAGAAUCAAUUUCGUUUUAAUAAAAAAUAGCACAACAUGAUAUACAUUAAUAAUUUGGUACUUUUUGUUGCUUUGCAUACUUGGCAUGUUAGACCUAAUAGUUUUUGUUGUCAUAGGAAUAUCCACCUAUGUUGCAUGUCAGACCUUUUGUCAUAACAACAUUUUAUAGAGUGGCAGUUUAUUCGGCCAUGUUGUAUGGAGCGAAGUGUUGGCCAGUUAAGCAUGUUCACAUCUAACAAUUGAAGGUAGCGUAAAUGAGAAUGUUGCAUUGGAUGUGUGGGCUUACUAAAGGGGAUAGAGUUAGGAAUGAGAUCAUCCGGGAUAAAGUGGGAGUGGCUUUGGUGGAGGACAAGAUUCGGAAAGAAAGGCUGAGAUGGUUUGGGCAUGUGAUGAGGAGGGGCGCGGAUGCCCCGGUUUGAAGGUAUGAGAGGCUAGCGUUGGAUGGCUUCAGGAGGAGAAGAGGUAGGCUGAAGAAAUACUGGGGGGAGGUGAUUAGACAUGACGUGGAGCAGCUUCAGCUUAUUGAGGACAUGACCCUAGAUAGGAAGGCGUGGAGGUCGAGGAUUAGGGUAGAAGACUAGUGUUAGUGUGUGGGUUGUAGCUAGCAGUCAGGAGAAUUCUUAUGUAGCCGGAGUUAGUAAUCAUAGGUCAGUGUACAUAGGUGUCUUUGGGAUGUGAGUGUAUGUCACUACUAGGUGGGUGUCCUAUUUUCUAUUGCGUAGUUCCUAUUUUUCUUAUUCUCUGUUGCUCUUAUUUCCCCUAGUUCACAUUCCUGUGAUUUUAUUUUAUUAUUUCCUAUUCUUUAUUUUGGUUAUGUCAUCCAUCCCCUUGUUUAUUAUCCUUAUCUUGAGCCGGGGAUCUAUUGGAAAUAACCUCUCUGCUUCUUCAGAGUACCUCUUACCCUCCCCAGACCCCACGCUGUGGGAAUAUACUGAGUUUGUUGUUGUUGUUGCUUGGGCACUUUAAAAAUGCUGCCUGUUGAUCCUCCAAAAGUAUUGCAUUUUGGAGGAUCUGAACAGGUGCGACAAUAUUUUUGGAGAGUCGAGCAAUAUAGAUAUCCACACAAGGUCAAAAUAAUUUUUUUUAAUAAGGAAGGCUGAAAUAACAUAUUUUGUCUGUAAAAGAAAUAAAAGGAAGACUGUGUGGAAUAUGGUUCCUAUGUAGUUGAAGGCUGAUUCACAAGGAGUUUGUGGUUGGAAUACACAAGUUUCAUAUGUGGGAUCAGUGUGAAUAUGGCCUUAAAGUAAGGCAUUUGACUGCUUAUUGUUGGCUUAAUCCUAGGUAGACCAGCUGAUGUAUCCUUGUAGUGGGAUUUCUCAUGCUACAUUGUUAGUUGAUUAUGUUUAUAACUAUGUCUUAAAUAAAUCCUGUGUAAUGGUGAUGAUGGUAUGCAUUGGACAACUUUAAAUCCUAAGACAACAUUUAAUUUUUUGCUAUUACAUGUAUAUUCUUCGAACACAUACAUAUAUGCGCACAUUUUUGGUUUGUGUUUACACUUAAUUCAAAAGAAACUUUCAGGUAAUAAAUAUCUGGCGAAAUGUUGAAAUAUUAAGAUCCAUCAUAGUUCCCAUAUUUGAUUAUUCUAUUAAAGUGUGAUCUCCAUCACACAUACCAUAUCUGAUUAUUCUAGCCGCUACUCCCUAAUAACAAAUGUUUGGCCAAAUUCUUCUUCUUUUCCUUUUAUCUUUUUUUGAGAAAAGGAAUUCAUAUGGAUUUGAUAUAUCGUUCAUUUUUAUAAUGUUGUAAUUUAUUCUUUUGAAGUUCUAUACUGUAAAGUUGCUUGUUGCCUAACUUAGAGCCCGUUUGGAUAGGAUUAAAAAAUAGCUCUUUAGCUUAUGUGCUUAAAAGUCGAAAAUAAGUGCUUAUAAAUUAAGCAGUUAAGUGUUUGAAUAGAAUUGUUGAAACUGAAAAAAGUUGUUGAUGUGUCUGGUAAACAAGUGUUGUUAAUCACUUUUCUGUUGUCAAAAUGACUUAAAUGUCCUUAAAAUUAUUAACACCAUGUAUAAGUUGAAUUGUAUAUAAUUUUUAAUUCUAAUUAUUCAAAAACAAAGGAGAAAGAUGAAGAGGAAACUGGAGGGGAGAGAGGGAGAGAAGUGGCAAAAAGAAAAAGAAAGAAAAACAAUAUAUUUAAAGGCUACAAAUUUGGGAUAUUGUUGGAAUUGGAGGAAAAUAUAUGGGGUAAAAAGGUAAAUGUCUUGGUCAAACUUGAAAAGAAUUUAAUCUAAAAAGUAAAAAGGUGGGGUACCCAGCUUCUCACUUUUUGCCCUUUUUAAUCAGUUUUUAGACUUUUUUAUUUUACCAAACACCUAAAAAAAGAGAUUAAAAGCUGGUUUGACCUAUCCAAACGCGUACCAAAAAAAAAAAAAAAGAAAAUUGCUUGCUAGCUUAUUCAUCUAAUAAAACUAUAAAGUUGCUUCUUCUGCUUUCUGGUUGGUUAAAGCGACCAGGUUUCUUCUGGUUUUGAAAUUGGUUCGCUAGGGUUAACUCUCUUCAUGAUCAUGAAGGAAAAGAAGCUUGCGUGAGUGAUAUUUUUGCUAAUUUCAAGUUCUGUUAGUCUACAUUAUUUCACCUCUCUCUGUAGGCUGUUAUGAAGACUUUUAAAAAAAGGAACAGCAGCUGUUAGAAAGUUGCCUCGAGUUCUAUUAUAUUAAAAAUUGAUUGAAAUUUUGUAAUGCUCGUUUUAGGUCAUUUCCUGUUAUAAAUAUAUUAAAGAUCCUCUUCAGGCAGGUUUGCUGUUGCAUUGUGAAAGCCUCAAAUCUUUGAGGUAAUUAUCAUGAAAAUAUGUUUCGGAAAUUGCUGUUUGUAGUAUAGUUUAUAAGAGGAUUUUAAAGCAAACCCAAAAGAGUUGGGCAUCUCAGAAAGCCAUUGUUUUGUUUCUCAAUCAGCUUUUGGCUCGCUAUAGUUCCUACAUAUACACGCGUAUUCAAUUUUUUUUUUUUGAAUUCUCUGUUUUCUUAUUUAGUCGCUGUAUGGAUAUUUACUUCAACUACUUUUCUGCUAUAUUGACAAAGUAAAAAGAAAGCUCUCUCGUUCUUUUUUAUUUGAGAGUGGUAAGUUUAUAAUAUAUCAUCAGCACAAAGAAUUACAAAAAACAAAAGUAGGUCCUCGUUCGUCUUACAAGGAUUCUAUGAUGUCCUGCAGUGUAUCGAGAUCUUCUACCAAUUCUUCGUUACACCAGAAAUGAAUUAAACAUAGACAGUUCAUUUUGAUCUUCUGCACAUUGCUGGAUCUGUCUUCAAAGCAUUUUGUGUUUCUUCCUUCCAAAUAGUCGACCACAUGCAAGCAGGAAUUAUGUUAACAGGACCUUCAACUAUUUUCUAGCAAGCCAAAUAAUCUCCAGUAGACUUGGGCAUAAUCCAGUUGAUUCUUCCAUAUCACAAAGAAUUGCCAUGUCUAUCAUUGACUGGACAGUGUAAAAGGAGAUGAUUAAUGCUCUCUACUUCCUUCUCACACAAAUAACAUAUUGAUCACGGUUUCAUUCUCCUUCUCAUCAAGUUAUCUUGAGUUAGGCAUGCUUCCUUUGCAAUGAACCAUGAGAAACAUGCCACCUUGUAUGGUAUUUUCACUUUCUAGAUGUGGUUCCAGGGCCAAUUGUUGAUUUGUUGUCUGUAGGGAUUGAGUGCAGCUUUAGCAUAUGAAGAUUUCACUGUGCAGUCUCUUUUCUAUGUUUCUGCCAAAUCAAUCUAUCUUCACUUGUUCGAGUACCUUGGAAUGGCUCCAAACCUCUGAAGAACUUAGCCUUACUGAUAACUUUCCAAUAAUUUAAAAGUCGUAUUAAUUUUAGCUUCCAGCCUUGUUGAUCCCAAGCUUCAUGAAUUUGCUUCAGGCUGCUGAUGACUUAAGUCGAAGCUACUCAUUCUUCUUUUGCUGUGCUAGUUAAUGUACAUGUCAUAUGGGAAGGUUGCCUCUUUAUGAAUUCUGGUUAUUAUCAUUUAGAGGAAAAAUAUGUCCAAUACCUGAUUUUUUUUGUGCAUUUUGCUGAACUUGCAGAGGGUGUCCGUGCAGGGACUAAAGCAGCUGCAGUUGCAUGUGUUGCUAGUGCAAUUCCUACGUGAAAAAACUACGUUUCUCCAUCAUCUUGUUUUCCACACAAUGGCAUCCAAUCUUCGGGGUUAUGUCGUGAACCUUGAUCCUGCUGUCUUAACCCUGCCAUUUGGUGAAUCGAUAUUAGAGACACUGUUCGAUACAAGGAAGUCAUGAAGCAAUUAAAUCUUGGGCCAAAUGGAGGAAUUCUUACUUCACUGAACUUGUUUGCCACAAAGUUUGAUGAGAUGAGAGACUUAGGUGAUGCAAGGAUCAUCACUAGAAUAACUGGUACUGUUAGCUGAGAAAGAAGCUUGGUCAUAUGCAAAGCAAAGGGGAAAAGAUAUGGUAACUAUGCUCCCAACACUUGUUAUAGGGUCGAUGUUGCAGAAGACAACAAAUGCAAGUAAUUUGGUUCUCAUUAAGCUGCUGAAAGGUACCAAGAAAUCAUAGUUAUACUUCACUAUUUUAGUGUUUCUGCAUCAUUUCUUCUUCUUCUACAUUUUUUGCAUGAGUUGCUUUGGGAAUAAUCAGAAUUCACUUUUCCGCACAAGCUUCUUAAUUAUUUUUUCCUUGCAAGCAUGAGCGUCCAUUUAGCAUGCAAAUUGUCAUUUCACUUUUGUUCCUUCCGAAAAAAUUGACACAUGAUAGUAUUGUAUCAGUUUCUUGAACUAAGUAUUAGAUUGGAGGAUAUUAAGCUGAUGUGUGUUAGCUAGAUUAUUUAUAGUCAAAAAAACAUUUUUCUCCUGAUGUUUUGUUCAAUUUGAUAAUGUUCCUGCUUGUUAAAAUACCAAGCAAAUAUCCUUUAUGGUGGCAACUACAAAUUCAACCAAAGUCCUAAUAAGAGUUGCUUCUCUGCAGAUAGCUUUUACUUUUGUUGUUUAUCCAUCAUUAAUUCUUGCUUAUAUGGGACAAGCUGCAUAUCUUUCCAAGCAUCACAUUAUUGAAAGUGAUUACCACAUUGGCUUCUAUGUAUCAGUACCUAGUACAUUUUCAUGUUCACACACAUGGUCAUUAAGGAAAAUCUUUCGAUGAUGAACAUUCCCGAAUCGUCCAUGAAAGAUAUGAAGAAAUAUUAUGAGAAAAAAUAUUUUCAGAAUCUGAUAUUGAUCAAAUUGAAGCAUAUUGCCAAGCUGUGGGGGAUGAAAAAGUGAAGACUAUUUGGUCUUGGAUAUGAAGCAAAAGGCUACUACUUUGGACGAUCUUGAUUCCUUAGUUGAUGAUUGCAAUCUUGAGCAGUUGUGAUACUUUUGACGAUUAGUGCAUUGGUUUUUUAUGGUCUAUUUUGUUGAAAAUGUUUAAAAUUGUGCAACAACAAUAUACACUUGAUGGAUGUGGGUUAUUUUAAGAAUAGUUUGUAGAUUUUUGGACAUAAUUGUGUUUAGAUGGGUGUUGUGAUACUAUGGAUGUUUUAGACAUAAUUGUGUUUAGAUUUUGCUA
Molecule: RNA transcript, 5892 nt
Organism: Capsicum annuum
Lineage: Eukaryota; Viridiplantae; Streptophyta; Magnoliopsida; Solanales; Solanaceae
Gene name: early nodulin-93-like
Exons: 5
Source: RefSeq, a predicted model, not a curated record